This is a long non-coding RNA of Mustela lutreola (European mink), 4999 nucleotides long. RefSeq lists it as uncharacterized. The record is from RefSeq and is a predicted model, not a curated record. The transcript has 3 exons. Lineage: Eukaryota; Metazoa; Chordata; Mammalia; Carnivora; Mustelidae.
CUGAACUUGUAACAGAAUAUUAAAUUAUACUCCACUCAGGAGAACUCUGCACUUUGCACUUUGGUUAAAGUCUCAUUUAAAAUUUAAAUUUCUAAACUUUUCUUAAGAAAUUAAGUUUUAUUUGAUCUCCUCUUUUCUGAAUUGCAGAAAUCAGAUAAAACUACUUGAUAAACAUGACUUCUUGUCAUGUUACUAAAGAUCCUAUAAAAAAGGUUGCUAUCUUUGGAGGAACUCAUGGGAAUGAGUUAACAGGAGUAUUUCUAGUCAAGCACUGGCUGGAGAAUGGCACUGAGAUUCAGAGAACAGGGCUGGAAGUAAAACCAUUUAUUACCAACCCAAGAGCAGUGAAGAAAUGUACCAGAUAUGUUGACUGUGACCUGAAUCGAGUUUUUGACCCUGAAAAUCUUGGCAAAACAAUGUCAAAGGAUUUGCCAUAUGAAGUGAGAAGGGCUCAAGAAAUAAAUCAUUUGUUUGGCCCAAAAGACAAUGAAGAUUCCUAUGACAUUAUUUUUGACCUUCACAACACUACGUCUAACAUGGGAUGCACUCUUAUUCUUGAAGAUUCCAGAAAUGACUUUUUAAUUCAGAUGUUUCAUUAUAUUAAGGAAUCCUUUGACUCCAAAGUCAUAAAGACUGAAAAUCAGAUUUUUACCACCUUUGUCUGAGGACAGGGUCAAUAGCAUUGAAUGGACCUGGUAUCGGGAAGGUCACCACUAAUUUACAAGACACCCUUCCAGUAAUAAGUGUGGGACUGCAGGACAUUGAGAAAUGAUGUACCUGGUAGAAGGCUACAAACCUGAGCGAAGAAGCAUGGUUUCCAAAUCCGAGUCCACAGAAUCCUACUCCUGGGCUGGGAGUCUCCUCGCCGCCCCGUGGCUCCGGGACAGUUCAAGGACAGCUGCUCCAGAGCCGUUCGACUGUCUGAUUGCUCUGCCAUGUAACAUUUCACUUGAGCAAAAGAUUCUACAGUUCAGAAAUGUUAAACCACUAUAACUUUUUAGUUUGGUGGAUUUUUAACUAACAUGGAAAGAGCACAAUUACCCAAAGAAUGCUGACAAAGAGAUAACCAACCACCUAGAGAAAAAUCUCUAGAAAUGUGCAGAAGAGCUCCGUCCUUGACUCUGUGCUACUCAAAAUUGUCAGUAAGUUGGAUAAAGAUAGAUGUGACAUGCUUAUAUAUAAAUGAAAGGUGGCAGGAAGCUUUCAGGAAAAUAUUUGGGGUCAGGAGGUAGAUCCAAAAAGUCCUGACAAUCUUUAACAAUUGUCUGAAGCAAAUGCUUUAAGUUAAAUACAUUACAGGAACAAAGUUUGCUUUUAUGUUAAAAAAAAAAAAAAUCCAGGAGGUGAUGGUCUCUCUCCUGCAUUGAAUAAAUACCACUUGGGGAACUGUGAAUAAAUUCUGAGUCCAUAUUAGUGGUUAGCCAAGGAGUAAAUUAAGAAUGCUAUAAGGUUUGAAAACCAAAAUAGGAGUAAUCCCCGAGACACACACAGAACUUGAGUUUACAAAGUACCUUCACAUAGAACCUCAUGAAUGUGACCACAUAGGAGUAGUGAAUAAGAACAUUUAGAUCAGCAAAAGAAGACUUUAUAUUGGAGUUUUAGAAGUGUUAUAUUGGAAAGCAAUUAGACUUGUUUUCUGUGACUGAGGGCAGAGUAGAAUCCGUGGGAUAGAGUUACCUACAGACAUAAAUUUCUAAUUAACAACACUGGCCACACUUUGUGAAGCUGUCCGAGCUAGACUAAGAUGACCACCAGUGGGCCAGAAAGAGAUGGAGAAUACUCAAGCACUGAUGAAGUUAGGCAUUUGAGCCUCCUUCAGACUCUGAGAUUCAAAGUAGCAAAAACGUGCUACUUUAUUUUCUACCACUUUUUCCUUUACUCCCAAUGGACCUUCUGCUUUAAAAAGAGGACACCUGAUAAGUUUCCAUCUUCCCCUGAAAGGUGGGGUAGGUUGUAAAAAUGGCCACAAAUUCUUUCCUUCUCUGCAUGUUCUCUCUCCAUGUUCUUACAAUGUGCUUUUUUAGAUCCUUCUACCAAGAAAUGGAGUCUAUUUCCCUACCUCCUGAAUCUUACAUGUUUUGUGCCACAGAAGAGAUUUGAAAGGGACUUGCCCUCUGGGGGUUGCUCUCUUGCUCCCCUUGCGAGUAUGUGGAUCAGCCUGGCCUAGUCUCUUAAAUAAUGGGAGAUGAUGAGGCAGAGGACUCAGACACCCUAGCUCUAGCCAAUAGACCUGUCUAAUGCCAGACAUGAGAGUAAGACCAUCUUAGAUCAUCCAGCCCCCAGCUGACCUGCCAGCUUGCCACAGUCCUUAUUGUCACUGGGACACUUCUCAAUCAGCGAGGCCAGGGCUGGGAGGACAGAAGAGGGUGUUCUCCUCUGGUGCUCUGGCUGCUUAAUUACCCAACAGGCUCCUGCACAUUUGCAUGUACGUGCACGCCCCUCCCCCACACACCAUGCAGGCCUACAGCCUCAGUGUGCAGACACCCCCGCACACACUUUUAGGUUAUAUACAUUUUAAAGUACAACAUAUAACAAACACACAGGGCCAGCAUCAACUCCUACACAUCACUACAUCAUCAGUGAUACAGACAUGUAGAUAAAAAGCUCCAUUGCUUAGAACAUCAGACGGUCUCCAUGAUUAUAAAAUAUCCAAUGAGUUAAAGUUAGGACACAGGCAACCUUGCUUUUCAUGUGCAGUGAAAAGCAAAUGAUUGGGCGAUCGAUGCAUUCUAAACUGAAGUGAGAAAGCACGAUGUUUCCUUCCUUAACAAAACACCUAAGAAGCUGAAAAGCAGGGCAAUGCAUUGGUCCCUUUUGUCUUUACUAAAGCCAGUGGCUGAAUAAACAAACGCUUCACUGGAAUUCUCAUAUUUUCUCAAAGGUGGAAGACUCCCAUGAGGGAGAUAUCAUGGGGUCCAGCUACUCACUGCAGUAUCUGGGCACCCCACUUGCCCACAGGGAUGAAGAAUUCCAUGUAUGCCUCUAGAAGGCAGGUGCAUACAUAAUAAACACCUAGGUAUUUGGAAACACUGGGCCAAGAUUUAAGGUCCUAUAGACCCAGCCUCCCUAAUACUCUGAGGCAGGACUUUGGUGGGAUCUGCAGAGACGAAGAGCCCAACGUACUUCGUUCCACACUGCAAGUCCCAUUUCCUUUGCAUGGCAGCAAUGUUGAAUCAGCCUCUGUUCCUUGAGAGACAGGUGUCCAAUAAGCCUCUGAUGUCAGCUCGUGACCUCAUUCAGAGAGGCUGCUGAGCUGGGCUUCCUGGCCCCAUGGUAACCACCCCUGCUCUAGCAUAAGGUGAAGAUGAUGGGGUUGCUGGGCCUGGCUCAGACACCACCGAGGCUUGGUGUGAACUUGAGUAACUCAUUUCCCUGCUCUGGCCUUUGGCUUUUGUGUCUAUGGAUGAGACUUGAUGAUUUCUCUAGUGCUUUCCAGCCCCGAUCUGCCAGAGUCCAAGAUGGCAAGCUCUAGACCCCACAAAACUAGGAGGAACUGGCCCAGACCAUCUCUUCCUAAAGAAGUAAACCACUACUAAGCCUCUUCCUGCCUUCUCUGCCACACCUGCCAAGGUGGAGGCAGUCAUCACUGCAACCUGAUGGUGAGCACUGUGCUAGGCUCUUCUGGUCCUCUCCAUGGGUGUCCAUGGGCUUCUCCCACACAAGACUAUGGCCAAAUGACUGGGACAUGGUGACAUGGAAGUGUGGUUCCAGAGGACACAGCGGCCACCAUACAGGACUUCGGCCCUGCCUGUGCAGUGGUGACCAAAUGGGGCAGACCUACUUACAAGACAAAGUGAAACCAGGCAUCAGAGAGAAUGGACUGCAGAUCUGAGGGUCUCAGCAGGAAGAUCGCGAUGCUCUGAGGCCAAAAAGGAAAGAAAAGCUGCACCCCUGCAUGCCUCUCACUGGAGGAUCUGAGGAAGGCAGUGUUUCCUCAGGACUGAGACUCGGUGAGGGGGAGGGCAUGAAGGCCAAGCUAGAGCCCAGGUGAGAAAUACAGAAGGGGACCUAUGCCCGGGAGCAGAGGCAUCCCAGGGUAGGAGUGGGUGUACCCCCAAAUCCUCUCACAUCUCUCACUCACCCCACCUUAUCCUCACCCAGACCCUGCAAAGCAGCACAGUCACACAAUUCCCUGCCAUUGCCCAGACACAGCCUAGCUUCUAAAGCCAAAAACAAGAAACAACAGGUGUUGGUGAGGAUGCGGGAAAAAAGGAACCCUCUUGCACUGUUGGUGGGAGUGCAGACUGGGGCAGCCACUGUGGAAGACAGUGUGCAGUUUCCUCAUAAAGUUAAAAACAGAAAUAUCAUCCAGUAAUCGCACUACUGCGUAUCUAUCCAAACAAUACAAAAGCAGAAAAUCAAAAAGAUACAUGCAUCCUCAUAUUUACGGCAGCAUUAUUUAUAAUAGCCGAACUAUGGAAGCAGCCCAAGUGUCCCCUGAUAGAUGAACAAAUAAGGGAGAUGGGACAUAUAUACAAUGUAAUAUUACUCAGCCAUAAAAAAGAAUGAAAUUUUGCCAUUUUCAAUGACAUGGGUGGGGCUAGAGAGCAUUAUGCUAAGUGAUAGAAGUUAGAGAAAAACAAAUGCCGUAUGAUUUCACUUACAUGUGAAAUUUAAGAAAAGAAAUGAGCAAAGUGAAAAAAUCGAGACAGGGGCACCUGGCUGGCUCAGUUGGUAGAGCAUGUGACACUUGAUCUCGGGGUUGUGAGUUCGAGCCCCCCGUUGGGUGUAGAGCUUACUUUAAAAAAAAAAGAAAAAAUAGAGACAAAGCAAGAAACAGACUCUUAACUAUGGAGAACAAACUGAUGGUGGCCAGAGGGAGGAGGGUAGGGUCUGGGGGAAACUAGGUAAAGGGCAUUAUGAGUACACUUGUGGUGAGUACUGAGUCUUGUACAGAACUGCUGAAUCACUAUAUUGUACAAAGGAAACUAACAUAACACUGUAAGUUAACUACACUGAAUUAAAACUAAAAAUUUUGAUUAAAAGACAAAAAAAGAUA